AUUGAACGCUGGCGGCAUGCCUUACACAUGCAAGUCGAACGGUAACAGGUCUUCGGACGCUGACGAGUGGCGAACGGGUGAGUAAUACAUCGGAACGUGCCCAGUCGUGGGGGAUAACUACUCGAAAGAGUAGCUAAUACCGCAUACGAUCUGAGGAUGAAAGCGGGGGACCUUCGGGCCUCGCGCGAUUGGAGCGGCCGAUGGCAGAUUAGGUAGUUGGUGGGAUAAAAGCUUACCAAGCCGACGAUCUGUAGCUGGUCUGAGAGGACGACCGGCCACCUUGGGACUGGGGCACGGCCCAGACGCCUACGGGAGGCAGCAGUGGGGAAUUUUGGACAAUGGGCGAAAGCCUGAUUCAGCAAUGCCGCGUGCAGGAUGAAGGCCUUCGGGUUGUAAACUGCUUUUGUACUGAACGAAAAAGCUCCUUCUAAUACAGGGGGCCCAUGACGGUACCGUAAGAAUAAGCACCGGCUAACUACGUGCCAGCCGCCGCAGUAA
This 498-nucleotide ribosomal RNA is filed under the name uncultured bacterium. Its description in RNAcentral is "partial 16S ribosomal RNA". It matches the Rfam family "Bacterial small subunit ribosomal RNA", at positions 30 to 523 of the family's 1533-position model. The record is from RNAcentral.